This is a long non-coding RNA of Perognathus longimembris pacificus (Pacific pocket mouse), 2340 nucleotides long. RefSeq lists it as uncharacterized. The transcript has 2 exons. Lineage: Eukaryota; Metazoa; Chordata; Mammalia; Rodentia; Heteromyidae. The record is from RefSeq and is a predicted model, not a curated record.
UUGUUGUAUAUCAGCUCAACAUUAAAGUAGUCUUUUCCCACUUUUGAUAACCUAUUUCAGUUAAACUAAAAUUUAAGGCUUUCAGUGAAACUAUUUGAGUUAAUCAUGGGUACCUAAAUGUUGUAGAAGACCUGUUACCUUGAGAAAAAGCGAAAUGAAACAAUGUUCCCUAACACCUUUCAGGCAGUGAAAAUUUUUCCGAAUCUCGGUUGGAAAAGUUACUGUUGAUGGAUGGCAUUGUGUUAGUAACUCAAUCUGCAGCUAGCACAUGCAUUUACAAAUGCAGAAAAUCUAGAGAUUUCUCCCAAGAAUCCUUUUUAUUCUUUUCUUUUCCAAGAUUGUCUUUAUUUCAAAAGUCAGUUACAAAAUUUGUUUUUAUAAAUAAAACCAUAAUAAUUCAUUUAACAUUUAUCAAGUGCUUUAUUUCUAGUAGGCACAAAAUCAGGUAGACUUUGAAGCACUCUCUCCAAUCUGAGUCAGUCCAUUGUCUCUGGUACGUUAUCAAGCACGAACCUAAAUCUGAAAAAUACUUCUUCCAAGAUUAAACAUUUUAAAUUAUAUCUCAAAUUCUACCAUUCAUCUUUCUCAUCUUAUUAGCUUUCCUAACAGUUUAAGUACAUCUCAUACUUCACUUUCACAAUAAAGGAAAAAAAUAAAUAAAAAUAAACAAGAAAGAAAACAUGAAUAACAGUAAAAAAAAAUACAUCUCAAGGUUUUCUCUGUUAGGCAGAUGCUGUAGGAAAGGGUCUUAGUGAAAUGAAAGUGUAAAGUGUCCUUCAGCACGUUCUCUAGUAUGCACUUAAAGAAUUCAUGCAACAGUUGUCUGCUGUCAAACCAGCAGAGGCCAGAAGAGAGCUAUUUUUGGAGAAUUAGUUGGACACAAGAGCAUAAGUAACCAUAAGAGAAAACUUCUAAAUUAAGUAGAAUAUGAGCUGGAUGCUCUUGGUACCAUAACGACAACUCAUUUAAUAGCUCUUGAUAGAAUAAAGCAAAUGACAAAAGCAAGAAUUCAGUCCUGAGAGGGGGAGGAUGUCAACAUGUGUCAUAUACUGGACAUCUGGGGAAACAAAAUGGAAACAGCAUGAAAAGAUGAUCAGAACCCAAAUUGUGCUUUAGAUUCAUUAAUCUAGAGAACAGAUGUAGGGAAGGUGCAAUCUUCGGGGCAGUAAAUGUGAAUGUGAAAAUGCUAAAAUACUAAGGAGCCCAAAGGAACUUUAGUGAUAACUUGCUUCUUGUCUCACUUUUUAAUGAAUGAAACCUAAAGAAAUAGUGCUUGCCAAGGUCCCAAAAGACAGAAACUAGACUGUGGUAUAUUAGGGACUUUAGAAGUUUCGUGUUUGUUAAUUUGUUUACGCUUUCUAGGUGCAUGUGUCUCUUUACAGAACACAGUCCCUUUGAGGCAUUAGCUGGAUGUCCUAAAUUUGCGUCUUGAAUGUAAUGUAAGAUCUAAGAAUUUAGAGUCCAGUGUUUACAGACCUAUGAUUUCUAAACCAUGAGUAGCAGAUCCCUUUAUUCAAAUUAAAUCUUACACAGAACUUCAAUAAACAGUGAUUCUUUAAUGUCAUAAAUUUCUCUCAAUCAAAUCUGCCACCUUAUAAGUUCAACCAAGAAGACCACAAAAUUGUGAAAUGAAUUAUGGAUGGCAGAUUAUGUUUUAUAUCAGCUUGGUCUUCCAUGGUAGAGUAAUCAAACAUUUGCUGUACUUCAGACUAAUUAAUAUCUGAGUGCCAGACACAGGUGUCAGUACUUGUUUUUAAGUUUGUACAUAAUUCUAGGGUGCAGCCAGGUUUGUGAACAUAGUCUUAUUGCUACACACUAGGGCAGUAGCAUUUAAACUGCCACUUAAGCUAGCAUGCAUAAGAACCACACAUUGCUAAGCCACAUAAAGCAUUGAGACCCUAGCAUUUACAGUUUUCACAUGUUCCCAGAUGAUGUUAAUGCUACCAACAAAAGGGCCACAAGGGCCCAAUCAUAAAAAAAUCACACCGAUUUUGAUUGGAGAUUCUCAGGCUUUUCUCCCAGGAAUUUCAAUAGAGGGAUAGCCUGAAUAUCUGUAUUAACUUCCCAAGUUAUUAGUGUGAGGCAAAUUGAAAUUUUCUCCUAUAUGAACAUGUAUGUAAGUAAGAAAUAUGUCAAAAUUCCAUACAUGUGGCAGAAAAUAUUUUGAAGGUAAUAGUGCAUUAAUUUAGAUAAAGUUCUAAGGCCAGCUAUGUAUAUAAAAUGGAUUUAGGGGGUGGGGCAAGGGUAGGUCAGGCAUAUUAUCAGGUGUACAGGAGAAUCGUAAUUACUAUAUUCCAAGUAUAACCAGCAACAGGGCCAAGAUGGUGGGAGUGAAAUUAG